Small nucleolar RNA from Artibeus jamaicensis (Jamaican fruit-eating bat), 125 nucleotides. RefSeq annotates it as small nucleolar RNA SNORA28. Lineage: Eukaryota; Metazoa; Chordata; Mammalia; Chiroptera; Phyllostomidae. The record is from RefSeq and is a predicted model, not a curated record. The transcript has a single exon.
CAAUGAAUCUCCUAUUUGUUCAUUAAAAAGUGUGUUAUCCUUUUGAGCUUGCUAUAGCAACAAAGUCUAACCUAUUCCGGCACUCUCUCCUCCAUGGGACAAGCCAUUAUACAGACUUAGACAGU